GACGAACGCUGGCGGCGUGCUUAACACAUGCAAGUCGAACGGAAAGGCCCUGCUUGCGGGGUACUCGAGUGGCGAACGGGUGAGUAACACGUGGGUGAUCUGCCCUGCACUUCGGGAUAAGCCUGGGAAACUGGGUCUAAUACCGGAUAGGAGCCAUUUUUAGUGUGAUGGUUGGAAAGUUUUUUCGUUGUAGGAUGAGCUCGCGGCCUAUCAGCUUGUUGGUGGGGUAAUGGCCUACCAAGGCGGCGACGGGUAGCCGGCCUGAGAGGGUGGACGGCCACAUUGGGACUGAGAUACGGCCCAGACUCCUACGGGAGGCAGCAGUGGGGAAUAUUGCACAAUGGGCGCAAGCCUGAUGCAGCGACGCCGCGUGGGGGAUGACGGCCUUCGGGUUGUAAACUCCUUUCGCUAGGGACGAAGCUUUUUGUGACGGUACCUGGAUAAGAAGCACCGGCUAACUACGUG
This 465-nucleotide ribosomal RNA is filed under the name uncultured bacterium. RNAcentral describes it as "partial 16S ribosomal RNA". It matches the Rfam family "Bacterial small subunit ribosomal RNA", at positions 28 to 507 of the family's 1533-position model. The record is from RNAcentral.